UACAGAGGCCACAAGCGUUAAUCGGAAUCACUGGGCUUAAAGGGUGCGUAGGCGGUCCCGCAAGUGCUUUGUGAAAUCCCAUCGCUCAACGAUGGAAUGGCUCGGUAUACUGCGGGUCUUGAGGUCGGUAGAGGUCGUCGGAACAGUAGGUGGAGCGGUGAAAUGCGUAGAUAUCUACUGGAACGCCAAAGGUGAAGACAGGCGACUGGGCCGAUUCUGACGCUGGGGCACGAAAUCGUGGGGAGCGAACAGG
Molecule: ribosomal RNA, 253 nt
Filed under: uncultured bacterium
Lineage: Bacteria
Description: partial 16S ribosomal RNA
Rfam family: Bacterial small subunit ribosomal RNA
Source: RNAcentral